UGCAAGUCGAACGAUACUCUUUAGCUUGCUAAGGAGGAAAGUGGCGCACGGGUGCGUAACGCGUAUGCAACCUACCUUAAUCAGGGGGAUAGCCCGAAGAAAUUCGGAUUAACACCGCAUAAAAUCACAGUACAGCAUUGUACAAUGAUCAAAUAUUUAUAGGAUUAAGAUGGGCAUGCGUGACAUUAGUUAGUUGGCGGGGUAACGGCCCACCAAGACCACGAUGUCUAGGGGAUCUGAGAGGAUGACCCCCCACACUGGUACUGAGACACGGACCAGACUCCUACGGGAGGCAGCAGUAAGGAAUAUUGGUCAAUGGAGGCAACUCUGAACCAGCCAUGCCGCGUGCAGGAAGACAGCCCUCUGGGUCGUAAACUGCUUUUAUUCGGGAAUAAACCUACUUACGUGUAAGUAGCUGAAUGUACCGAAGGAAUAAGGAUCGGCUAACUCCGUGCCAGCAGCCGCGGUAAUACGGAGGAUCCAAGCGUUAUCCGGAUUUAUUGGGUUUAAAGGGUGCGUAGGCGGCUUUUUAAGUCAGGGGUGAAAGACGGUGGCUCAACCAUCGCAGUGCCCUUGAUACUGAAGAGCUUGAAUGAAUUAGAGGUAGGCGGAAUGUGACAAGUAGCGGUGAAAUGCAUAGAUAUGUCACAGAACACCGAUUGCGAAGGCAGCUUACUAUGAUUUUAUUGACGCUGAGGCACGAAAGCGUGGGGAUCAAACAGGAUUAGAUACCCUGGUAGUCCACGCCCUAAACGAUGAAUACUCGCUGUUAGCGAUACACAGUUAGCGGCUAAGCGAAAGCGUUAAGUAUUCCACCUGGGGAGUACGGUCGCAAGAUUGAAACUCAAAGGAAUUGACGGGGGCCCGCACAAGCGGAGGAGCAUGUGGUUUAAUUCGAUGAUACGCGAGGAACCUUACCCGGGCUUGAAAGUUAGUGAAUCAUUUAGAGAUAGAUGAGUCCGCAAGGACACGAAACUAGGUGCUGCAUGGCUGUCGUCAGCUCGUGCCGUGAGGUGUUGGGUUAAGUCCCGCAACGAGCGCAACCCCUAUGUUUAGUUGCCAGCACGUUAAGGUGGGGACUCUAAACAGACUGCCUGUGCAAACAGAGAGGAAGGAGGGGACGACGUCAAGUCAUCAUGGCCCUUACGUCCGGGGCUACACACGUGCUACAAUGGAUGGUACAGAGGGCAGCAAGCUGGUAACAGCAAGCAAAUCUCCAAAAGCCAUUCACAGUUCGGAUAGAGGUCUGCAACUCGACCUCUUGAAGUUGGAUUCGCUAGUAAUCGUAUAUCAGCAAUGAUACGGUGAAUACGUUCCCGGGCCCUUGUACACACCGCCCGUCAAGCCAUG
This 1350-nucleotide ribosomal RNA is filed under the name Pedobacter cryoconitis. Its description in RNAcentral is "bacterial SSU rRNA". It matches the Rfam family "Bacterial small subunit ribosomal RNA", at positions 56 to 1406 of the family's 1533-position model. The record is from RNAcentral. Lineage: Bacteria; Pseudomonadati; Bacteroidota; Sphingobacteriia; Sphingobacteriales; Sphingobacteriaceae.